CGAACGAGAAAUCCCGAGCUUGCUCGGGAGAGUAAAGUGGCGCACGUUUUGAGUAACGCGUGGGUAACCUGUCCUUAAAUUUGGGAUAAUCCACCGAAAGGUGGCCUAAUACCAAAUACAGUCCUAAGAACCAAGGUCCUUGGGAUGAAAGCUGACCUCUUCAUGAAAGUUGGCGUUUAAGGAGGGGCUCGCGUACCAUUAGCUUGUUGGUAGGGUAAUAGCCUACCAAGGCUACGAUGGUUAGCUGGUCUGAGAAGAUGGCCAGCCACACUGGAACUGAAACACGGUCCAGACUCCUACGGGAGGCAGCAGUGAGGAAUCUUGCGCAAUGGGGGAAACCCUGACGCAGCGACGCCGUGUGAGUGAAGAAGGCCUUCGGGUCGUAAGGCUCUGUCAAGUGGGAAUAAAGUCUUGCGGUGAAUACCCGAGAGAUCUGAAGGUACCACUAAAGGAAACACCGGCUAACUCCGUGCCAGCAGCCGCGGUAAUACGGAGGGUGUAAGCGUUAUUCGGAUUU
This 517-nucleotide ribosomal RNA is filed under the name uncultured bacterium. Its description in RNAcentral is "bacterial SSU rRNA". It matches the Rfam family "Bacterial small subunit ribosomal RNA", at positions 63 to 552 of the family's 1533-position model. The record is from RNAcentral.